This 562-nucleotide ribosomal RNA is filed under the name uncultured bacterium. RNAcentral describes it as "bacterial SSU rRNA". It matches the Rfam family "Bacterial small subunit ribosomal RNA", at positions 338 to 917 of the family's 1533-position model. The record is from RNAcentral.
CCUACGGGAGGCAGCAGUGGGGAAUAUUGGACAAUGGGCGCAAGCCUGAUCCAGCAAUGCCGCGUGAGUGAUGAAGGCCUUAGGGUCGUAAAGCUCUUUUACCAGGGAUGAUAAUGACAGUACCUGGAGAAUAAGCUCCGGCUAACUCCGUGCCAGCAGCCGCGGUAAUACGGAGGGAGCUAGCGUUGUUCGGAAUUACUGGGCGUAAAGCGUACGUAGGCGGUUAUUCAAGUCAGAGGUGAAAGCCCGGGGCUCAACCCCGGAACGGCCUUUGAAACUAGGUAGCUAGAAUCUUGGAGAGGUCAGUGGAAUUCCGAGUGUAGAGGUGAAAUUCGUAGAUAUUCGGAAGAACACCAGUGGCGAAGGCGACUGACUGGACAAGUAUUGACGCUGAGGUACGAAAGCGUGGGGAGCAAACAGGAUUAGAUACCCUGGUAGUCCACGCCGUAAACGAUGAUAACUAGCUGUUCGGGCACUUGGUGCUUGAGUGGCGCAGCUAACGCAUUAAGUUAUCCGCCUGGGGAGUACGGUCGCAAGAUUAAAACUCAAAGGAAUUGAACGG